GAGUUUGAUCCUGGCUCAGGAUGAACGCUAGCGGCAGGCUUAAUACAUGCAAGUCGAGGGGCAGCAGCUUUAUAGCAAUAUAGAGGCUGGCGACCGGCAAACGGGUGCGGAACACGUACACAACCUUCCUUGAAUAGGGGGAUAGCCCAUAGAAAUGUGGAUUAAUACCCCGUAAUAUAGCGGUGUGGCAUCACACUGUUAUUAUAGUUUCGGCGAUUCGAGAUGGGUGUGCGGCUGAUUAGGUAGUUGGCGGGGUAAAGGCCCACCAAGCCUUCGAUCAGUAGCUGAUGUGAGAGCAUGAUCAGCCACACGGGCACUGAGACACGGGCCCGACUCCUACGGGAGGCAGCAGUAAGGAAUAUUGGUCAAUGGACGCAAGUCUGAACCAGCCAUGCCGCGUGAAGGAUGAAGGUCCUCUGGAUUGUAAACUUCUUUUAUAGGGGGCGAAAAAAGGUCUUUCUAGAUCACUGACAGUACCUA
This 480-nucleotide ribosomal RNA is filed under the name uncultured Bacteroidota bacterium. RNAcentral's name for it is "bacterial SSU rRNA". It matches the Rfam family "Bacterial small subunit ribosomal RNA", at positions 9 to 481 of the family's 1533-position model. Lineage: Bacteria; Pseudomonadati; Bacteroidota. The record is from RNAcentral.